RNAcentral lists this ribosomal RNA (590 nucleotides) under uncultured Gammaproteobacteria bacterium. Its description in RNAcentral is "bacterial SSU rRNA". It matches the Rfam family "Bacterial small subunit ribosomal RNA", at positions 1 to 887 of the family's 1533-position model. The record is from RNAcentral. Lineage: Bacteria; Pseudomonadati; Pseudomonadota; Gammaproteobacteria.
CGGGAAUUCGAUUAGAGUUUGAUCAUGGCUCAGAUUGAACGCUGGCGGCAGGCUUAACACAUGCAAGUCGAGCGGGGAAGAGUAGCUUGCUACUUUACCUAGCGGCGGACGGGUGAGUAAUGCUUAGGAAUCUGCCUAUUAGUGGGGGACAACAUCUCGAAAGGGAUGCUAAUACCGCAUACGUCCUACGGGAGAAAGCAGGGGACCUUCGGGCCUUGCGCUAAUAGAUGAGCCUAAGUCGGAUUAGCUAGUUGGUGGGGUAAAGGCCUACCAAGGCGACGAUCUGUAGCGGGUCUGAGAGGAUGAUCCGCCACACUGGGACUGAGACACGGCCCAGACUCCUACGGGAGGCAGCAGUGGGGAAUAUUGGACAAUGGGGGGAACCCUGAUCCAGCCAUGCCGCGUGUGUGAAGAAGGCCUUUUGGUUGUAAAGCACUUUAAGCGAGGAGGAGGCUACCGAGAUUAAUACUCUUGGAUAGUGGACGUUACUCGCAGAAUAAGCACCGGCUAACUCUGUGCCAGCAGCCGCGGUAAACGAAUCACUAGUGAAUUCGCGGCCGCCUGCAGGUCGACCAUAUGGGAGAGCUCCC